Molecule: long non-coding RNA, 681 nt
Organism: Mastomys coucha (southern multimammate mouse)
Lineage: Eukaryota; Metazoa; Chordata; Mammalia; Rodentia; Muridae
Exons: 4
Source: RefSeq, a predicted model, not a curated record
GGAAAUGGCCCUGGUGGUAGGGUGUGAUUGAACCAGCCCUGAGGGCAAAAGUGUGGGGGAACUGAGCCUACCACUCUUCUCUGUGUGACUGCAUGAUGGUCUUCCCUCCCCCUUUCCUGAAUCACCUUCAGCUUUUGGGAAAGUUUACCAUAGGAUCAUGAGCAUGGGAGAGGAGGACUUGUCCCUUGCUAGUGGCAGCACUAGAGAAAAAGACAAAGGGCCUUGUACUUCAUCUGAGGAGCACAGUAGAGAUGGCCCUGGGUACUAGACACAGCAUUGCUGGAGGGCUUGCCUUGGGGGUGUGCAUAACAAAGAACCAGCCUGCUGACCAGCUCAGUUACCAUCCAAGCCCAGAUCAAGGCCUCUGAAUUGGACUACUCCAAAAUGUGUAUCAUCUGCAAUAAGACAGGACAUAAAUUCUAAUCUACUGUCCCAUUCCCACCUGCCUACUGUUAUAUUCUUUGCCAUGAUGACUGUUGAGUUUCACCAUUGGAACCAUGAGACCACCAGGCAGUCAUCUAAAACCAACAUCACUUUCAAAGUAUAAGUUUGUUUGCAAUACAUCAAAAUAAAUAUGUUUAUCUGAAAUUCUGCAUUUGCUACAUAAAGAAGAGGAAGAAAAUUGCAAGUACAUUACUGUGAAAUAUGAGACACUGGCAUUAUUAACUCUAUGCCAUACUG